RNAcentral lists this transfer RNA (72 nucleotides) under Canis lupus familiaris (dog). It matches the Rfam family "tRNA". From Rfam's summary of the family: Transfer RNA (tRNA) molecules are approximately 80 nucleotides in length. Their secondary structure includes four short double-helical elements and three loops (D, anti-codon, and T loops). Further hydrogen bonds mediate the characteristic L-shaped molecular structure. tRNAs have two regions of fundamental functional importance: the anti-codon, which is responsible for specific mRNA codon recognition, and the 3' end, to which the tRNAs corresponding amino acid is attached (by aminoacyl-tRNA synthetases). tRNAs cope with the degeneracy of the genetic code in two manners: having more than one tRNA (with a specific anti-codon) for a particular amino acid; and 'wobble' base-pairing, i.e. permitting non-standard base-pairing at the 3rd anti-codon position. The record is from Rfam by way of RNAcentral. RNAcentral also lists the same sequence under 1 other name. Lineage: Eukaryota; Metazoa; Chordata; Mammalia; Carnivora; Canidae.
CCCUGGCUGGCUCAGUUGGUAGGGCAUAUGACUUCUGAUCCUGGGUUGUGAGUUCAAGCCCCAUGUUGGGUG